Molecule: ribosomal RNA, 245 nt
Filed under: uncultured bacterium
Lineage: Bacteria
Description: partial 16S ribosomal RNA
Rfam family: Bacterial small subunit ribosomal RNA
Source: RNAcentral
UAGGGAGCGAGCGUUGUCCGGAUUUACUGGGUGUAAAGGGCGUGUAGGCGGAGCUGCAAGUCAGAAGUGCAAUCUCCGGGCUCAACCCGGAAACUGCUUUUGAAACUGUAGCCCUUGAGUAUCGGAGAGGCAGGCGGAAUUCCUAGUGUAGCGGUGAAAUGCGUAGAUAUUAGGAGGAACACCAGUGGCGAAGGCGGCCUGCUGGACGACAACUGACGCUGAGGCGCGAAAGCGUGGGGAGCAAA